RNAcentral lists this ribosomal RNA (433 nucleotides) under uncultured bacterium. RNAcentral's name for it is "partial 16S ribosomal RNA". It matches the Rfam family "Bacterial small subunit ribosomal RNA", at positions 29 to 507 of the family's 1533-position model. The record is from RNAcentral.
AACGAACGCUGGCGGCAUGCCUAACACAUGCCAGUCGAACGAGACCUUCGGGUCUAGUGGCGCACGGGUGAGUAACGCGUGGGAACCUGCCCUUAGGUUCGGAAUAACUCCCCGAAAGGGGUGCUAAUACCGGAUAAUGUCUUCGGACCAAAGAUUUAUCGCCUUUGGAUGGGCCCGCGUUGGAUUAGCUAGUUGGUAGGGUAAAAGCCUACCAAGGCGACGAUCCAUAGCUGGUCUGAGAGGAUGAUCAGCCACACUGAGACUGAGACACGGCCCAGACUCCUACGGGAGGCAGCAGUGGGGAAUAUUGGACAAUGGGCGAAAGCCUGAUCCAGCAAUGCCGCGUGAGUGAUGAAGGCCUUAGGGUUGUAAAGCUCUUUUACCCGGGAUGAUAAUGACAGUACCGGGAGAAUAAGCUCCGGCUAACUCCGUG